AGCAACAGCCAAAUUGUAUUACGACUUUUGCGUCUACCUUGGGAAAUCCCUUUCUAUUUGUAUUUCGCGCUUCGUGUCACGUGAUUCACACACAAACAAACAAAAUGGCGGAGGCUUCGAAAUCUACAAUGAGCGUACCAGCCAAAACAGAGGGAGAGAUGAGAAGAAGUAAAUGCGUGAGACAGCCAUCUAAGAGAAUGUUGUUGUAUUCUCAGGACACAGAUUCAGAUUCAAGUCUACAGAAGAGUUAAGGAAAACGUCCUGCCAGAAAGAUCCAGAAAGUUGAUACAUUAGCAACAAUAACUAAGUGGUGCUCUUGUCACAGAUGCCCACAAUACGAGAGAGUGGAAGAUCGAGUUUGCUGUGGGAUGGUCCCAGAAUUAUGCUCAAGUCACAGACCUGAGAUGACUCUUUCGGUGCUGGAUAGGAUGACCCUCUACAGUCAGCAGCAGUAUCAACAAGAUGUGUUUUCCUUUUAUGCAGAGACACUAGAAGAUGUCAAUAAAUCUUUUAGACAUGCUGCAUACAGACAAUUUACCAUCUUAAUGCAUGAGAAUAACUGUCCCAGCAUGUUGUGUUAAAUUAAUAAGGGAGAAGUUUCCUAGUCCUUAAGGCCAGUAUACAGGCUUCGUACCAGGUGAAGGCCCAGUGUUCUAAUAAUUUUGCAUAUUUAUGCCCCCCUUCGAAGAAGAGGGGGUAUAUAGUUUUGCACAUGUCAGUCCGUCCACCAGAUGGUUUCGGGAUGAUAACUUAAGAACGCUUAGGCCUAGGAUCAUGAAACUUCAUAGGUACAUUGAUCAUGACUGGCAAAUAACCCCUAUUGAUUUUCAGGUCACUAGGUCAAAGGUCAGUGACUCGAAACAGUAAAGCGGUUUCCGGAUGAUAACUCAAGAAUGCAUACGCCUAGGAUCUUGAAACUUCAUAGGUACAUUGAUCACGACUGGCAGAGGACCCCUUUAGAUUUUCCGGUCACAAGGUCAAGGUCACAGUGACUCAAAACAAUCAAAUGGUUUCCAGCUGAUAACUCAAGAAUGCUUACGCCUUUUGAUCAUGAAACUUCAUAGCUACAUUGAUAAUGACUGGCAGAUGACCCCUUUUGAUUUUCAGGUCACUAGGUCAAGGUCACAGUGACUCGAAAUAGUAAAAUGGUUUCCUGAUGAUAACUCAAGAAUAAUUAGGCCUAGGAUCAGGAAACUUCAUAGGUACAUUGAUCAUGACUGACAGAUGACCCCUAUUAAUUUUCAGGUCACUAUGUCAAAGGUCAAGGUCACAGUGACAAAAAACGUAUUCACACAAUAGCUGCCACUACAACUGACAGCCCAUAUGGGGGGCAUGCAUGUUUUACAAACAGCCCUUGUUGCUAUUCUUUUUCAUUUAUCAGACAUAGAACUUUUCUUAGUUUUGAUUAUUUUUUGUUCUGGCUCCUUUUUUGAAACAUUUAUAUUUAUGCAAAUCAUUUGAGUUAUGCUUAAUCAUUUGGAUUUUUCAGUUCUAUGCAUUUUGUUUUGAAAAAUCAAUUUGUGUGAAAUGUGCUAGUUUAUUAUUAAAACUUGCACAGCAGUUUUUACAUUUGUAUGCUUACUUUGGUGUCAUUUGAAUGAAAUGCCACGAGUACUCUGGAUUGUAAGAUGAAAGAAAUAAAAGAAGCAAUGACA
Molecule: long non-coding RNA, 1655 nt
Organism: Dreissena polymorpha
Lineage: Eukaryota; Metazoa; Mollusca; Bivalvia; Myida; Dreissenidae
Exons: 4
Source: RefSeq, a predicted model, not a curated record